RNAcentral lists this long non-coding RNA (2181 nucleotides) under Pongo abelii (Sumatran orangutan). RNAcentral describes it as "lncRNA (ENSPPYG00000040550.1)". The record is from RNAcentral. Lineage: Eukaryota; Metazoa; Chordata; Mammalia; Primates; Hominidae.
GGUUUUACUGCAGCAGCCGGAGGUGACAGCGACGCCUCAGCCGCCUCUGUUGCUCUCAGAGCCCCGGCUUCCCCUGCACCGGGAAAGCGCCCCCUCCCGAGAGGCUGGUCCCUGGCGAAGUGCGAACGAGCUGCGGAAAACCAAAUUUUAAAAUGUAGAAGUCGUUGAGCUGCAUUCCUCCGAGGACCAGUCUGAUCGCCCAAGACUGAGAGUGGCAGCGUAUGAGAAGUUGGGACCGUAGAGCAAGUGGGGGGAGGGGAGUGUUGCAGCAGGCAUUCUAUUCUGGAAGGAGUCGCUGGGAGCAGUGCGGUUGGACACAAGUUUGCGUAGGAGUGUUUUCCUUUUGUCAAUAAUUAAUCACCGGAAUUAGCCUGGUAGAAUUUGAGUUUUAGCAAUAGUCCCGAGGGCGGGGCCGAACACCUAACUCCGGGAGGCUCCCAGGCGCCCGGCGCAGUGGGAAGCUCGCAGCAGCUGGGGAGGAGCCAAAGCCUCGGCGCUCACCUAAGCCGCAGGGAGAUACACCCAACUGGGAGAUGAGGAAACAGCAACCCAGAGAGGAGAAGUAACCCACACAAGAUCAUUUUGUGAAGGAGCAAGGCUGAAGACCCAGACCUGGACUUUCUUAGGACAAACUUAACUGCAGCUUGAAGGAGCCAACCAUGGAUUUGAGGCGUGUGAAGGAAUAUUUCUCCUGGCUCUACUAUCAAUACCAAAUCAUUAGCUGCUGUGCUGUUUUAGAGCCCUGGGAGCGAUCUAUGUUUAACACCAUCUUACUAACCAUUAUUGCUAUGGUGGUAUACACUGCCUAUGUCUUUAUUCCAAUCCACAUUCGCCUGGCUUGGGAAUUUUUCUCAAAAAUAUGUGGAUAUCACAGUACAAUUUCUAAUUGAUCUUGUUCACAUUCAGUGAAAUGGCAUUGCAUAUUUAUAUGUUGCUUACAACUUAUUGAUUUAGGUAACUAUUGUGUCUUCCUUCACUAUCUGACCUGAAAAGCACUCUCUUCUCUAUGCACUCUUAUAUUCUGCCUUUCUGCCUGGAGUUUGAAAUAGAUGUCUCUUUAGUUUCUUUCACACAUGCUACACUGUGCAUUAGACCGUAGAUAAUACAGUGACUUUACCUCACAAAUCAUAUUCUGUCAACACAAAUCUAUGAAUUUAGUUUAUUUAAAAUCAGAACAAUUUCCUACAAAAUUUUUCUGGAAAAUAGGCUCCUAACAGACCUACCAGAAUCAUGCUUAAAGUGCUCCCUUGACACUUAUUCUAUACUGAAGGAUAAAUUUUAAAAAAUCUUUAUAGGCUACUGUCAGAAGUAUCCUAUCCUUGUUUACGAUGUAUAAAAAGAUGUGAAUAAAUUAUAUGGACCCCCUAAGUCUUAUUUUCUAGUAAACUGAUGAUACUGGAAAUUCUUUUACUUCAAAUGCAAAAGAAUAAGCUGGAGGCAAUUCUUUCCUUUCAUACACAGUUCAUGAAUCGUUUUAAAUGCUUCUUAAAGUCUGGCUUUAUAACCGUUUAAAAUCAACAAUGUUGAUUUUAGAUAACCAAGUAAGCAUUAUAAUACAAAAUAAUUUUAAGUGUAAGAAACUAAAGUAUAAUCAAAGUAAAUUCAGAUAUUGUGAUUUGUGGCGUUGCCUUGCCUUGCAUGAUGCUGGCGGAAAAAGAGAAAAGAAAUGGUUUUCUUUUUGUACUUUCAUUCAGUGUAGAGGGAAAAAAGCAUGUAUUGGGCCACCGGAAGAAAAGCUAAUAAAUAGGCUGGAAGUAAUAGUCUACCAGCAGGAACUCAACAGCUCCAGUUAAGUGCUUUGAUAUAGUGGCUCCUUUGCAGAGCCAAAACAAGAUUUAUUAAAUUUUAUUCAAACUGUUUAUCUUUAAAACAAAUAUAAGGUUUUAAUUAUACUGCUGAAGCAAAUGUGAAUGCCAAAGACUACGUUUUGCAGUUUUGCUUUCCUCCCAAUAAAUAUUAAUGUAUGUAAUUCUAGAGGGUAAAACUGUAAAUAGGUUUGAACAAUAUUUGCACCCUUGUUUGUGUUAUGAAAAAAUUUUUCCAAGGCGAGCUAGAGAGAAGGAUGUUUGGCAUGCCAAAUUAACUUGCAUGUUUGUUAAAAAAACAAACACAUGUUUUGAAGAGAAACCAGAUCUGAACAUGUAUUUGUUGAGUUUUGCAAAAUAAAAUUAAUUUUGUAAG